AAAGCCCAGCGUUGAAUCCCAUGAUCAUUGAACGAUCAUUCGGGACCUGUAACGUAUAGGUAUAGCUAUUUGUUGCCAGCGUUUUAAAUACUCUAAGUUCCCUUGACUGGGGCUAUCGCCCAUUGAUGGUGCUAGGCCAGUAAGAGUAUUGAAAUGUUGGUAAUGUUUCGGUUAUACCUUAGAGUCGAGUUGCCUGGGAUCGCAGCUCAAAGUAGGUGGUAAACUUCAUCUAAGGCUAAAUAUCGCUACGAGACCGAUAGCCAACAAGUACCGUGAGGGAAAGUUGCAAAGAACUUUGAAGAGAGAGUUCAAGAGUACGUGAAACCGUUGGGAGGAAAACGGAUAGAGUCGGCGAUUUGCUAGUAACACUCAGCUAAUCAACGUUUGCUGCUACUGUCUAAGUUGAAUCGUUCAACUUGUUGUUCGAUAGCUUAGUCGGUUAUCCAGUUGGCUGUUUAAACGUUCGAUUAGUGCAAUUGCUGCUAGUAUGCGCUAAGAUAUUCGCUAUUUGUAUAUGCUUUAAACCAUGUUUGAAGAGGACUACAUCACUUGUUGGUAUAGAACCCUUCGGCAUUGGUCUGGUAUAUUCAUGGUGAAUAUAAAAGUCGGUGUGUGUAUAGAUCACUAUAGCUUUUUUAAAGCUGUGGCGUUCAUCAAUUCUUGGUGGUUUUCUACAUUUGACAGUGGCAUGCCACUUUGUCUUAUGUGUCCAAGGCUGUCGAUUGAUGUUCUUGUCACAUUUGGUGAUCUAAAUUCUUAGCGUUAAAGUCGAUCACCUAUCCGACCCGUCUUGAAACACGGACCAAGGAGUUUAGCAUAUGCGCGAGUCAUUGGGUGGUAAACCUAUAGGCGUAAUGAAAGUAAAGUAUAUAUGCACAUUGUAUAUAUCGAUAUGGGAUUCAUACAGAUGUCUCAUUUAGCGAUUUGGCGCGUGCUGACUGGGGCAUUCAUAGUUACUGUAUGACGCACCAUAGCCCCGUUUAUGUUUAGCAUUGCUAACUAGGCGGAGGUAGAGCGUAUAUGCUAAGACCCGAAAGAUGGUGAACUAUGCUUGAACAGGAUGAAGCCAGAGGAAACUCUGGUGGAAGUCCGAAGCGAUUCUGACGUGCAAAUCGAUCGUCUGAUU
Molecule: ribosomal RNA, 1126 nt
Filed under: Trypanoxyuris pigrae
Lineage: Eukaryota; Metazoa; Nematoda; Chromadorea; Rhabditida; Oxyuridae
Description: eukaryotic LSU rRNA
Rfam family: Eukaryotic large subunit ribosomal RNA
Source: RNAcentral